This 28507-nucleotide long non-coding RNA is filed under the name Nicotiana tabacum (common tobacco). RNAcentral's name for it is "long non-coding RNA (NTAB_LNC009435)". The stretch from base 1 to 205 matches the Rfam family "Plant small nucleolar RNA U3". The record is from RNAcentral. Lineage: Eukaryota; Viridiplantae; Streptophyta; Magnoliopsida; Solanales; Solanaceae.
UACUUGAACAGGAUCUGUUCUAUAGGCUCGUACCACUGUAUCCUUGAGUUCUAAGGAGACAGAAAACCAAGUCUGGUUGAUGAAGUGUGGCCAUGAGACUAGAGCGUGAUUGACAGCUUUGGUGGCUCUUGGGCCUCUGCGCAGUAGAGGAUCGUUCUCAGGCCUCUCGUAGGUCUGGGGUGGUGUCUUGGCUCUCUGACAGACUACUAAACUUUUUGUUUUUGCUUUCACAAUUUACAAUUCAUCUCCGGUACACUUCCGUUUUGUUUUAUAUUUUAUUUUAUCAUAUAUGGUUACACUCAAAAUGCAAGAUGUGUUAAUGGAUGUGAUAUCCCUUGGAACCCAUGUUGAUCAAAACCUCUGUUUGAUUCUGUUGGUUUCAUUGGUUUUCUUUGGUCAAAACCUCUGUGAUAUCCCUUGGAACCUGUACUUUGUUGAUACUACUUGAUUAUAAAGGCCAAAGACUUUAUUUAGUUCAUUGUAGACAAUGUGUUCGACCAAUGUUCACAAAGACUAUUACAGAGUGAAAUUUAACGACUGAAAGCUGAAGGAUGGCUUUUGUUCUUGUCCUCUGCUUUGGGAAGUCUGGGAAUAUUGAUGGCAAGUUAUAGCUACGGACUCUUUCAUUGUCUCAGGCCCACAAACGAAGACACCAAUGUUGGAUCCCUUGGAUUCAUUAGCAAACUGGGAAAAUAUAUCUGUUUAAUUUUCGACAUAUUAGAAUGCCAAUCGAUUGGAUUGUUUGAAGUUAAAACAAGGACAUGAAUGUAUUUGGCACAUACCUUUAAAGUUUGGCCUUGCUCCAAAAUGGAUUUCAUGUUGAUCAAAACCUCUGUUUGAUUCUGUUGGUUUCAUUGGUUUUCUUUCUUUUUCAGAAAAUGGUGGAAUUUCUUCACUUAGCCUCUUCCAUCUCCAUAAGGUAGCCACUAAGGUGCUGGAUAUUAGUGCUAAUGCAAAUGAGCAUAUGAGAAGAAGGUCCACUAUUGAGGAGGCAGUUUUUUGUUCAGCUGACUUUUUAUUAGGCCUGAUAAUAAUAUGGUUGAAGAUGCUAAGGAAUGCUAGAAAAAUGAUAGAUGCCAACAAAAGGAGGACGGCCAUCCAUCGCAAGUUCUCAAGUCCAUAUACUGCAUGACCAGAACGCUUGUUGGCGAGAUGAAUGGUUUGUAUUUUAGAGACCUCAACUAGCACUUCACGUAGGGAUCUAUUGGAUUGGUGUUCCCGCGUGACAAACACUUUCAGUUUUAGAUAACUUUGUUCUGCAUCAAAAGCGUGCGGUAGAACUGGAUCUAACAAGCAGAUGCUUUGGGAAUCUUUUAUGGUGUAGACAAGCUGUACUUUUACAGGUGAUACAUUUUUGUUACUUCUUGCUGGGGCAAUUUCUUGCAGAAUGCUAAAAAAUGGUGUAACCCCAAUUCCACCUGCAACUAGAAGUAGACUAUCAUAUCUGCAGAAGAUUCAACAAAUAAUUAUAUACGGGGAAAAUAUGAUAGAUAACUUGGUCUAAAAUCAAACAUGAAAUAACAUCAUUUCCUUUACCUUAGAAAAUCCAGUGAUGAAGGUCCAUAAGGGCCUUCUGUUGCUACGUGAAAAAACCUCAUUCCAUCAGCUUCUGCAUCAGGCUUUGAACGUAGCAUAUUAUAGAGAGUGCUGGUCCACCGUCCCUCAGCUUUGAUCAAAAUAGAGAUCGUGUCUUUAUCAACUUUGGAGCUAGAAGUUAUGCUAAAAGGAUGCCAUUGAAAAUUUGAAAUCCUUGGAAUCUUGACAUAAAUCACACUUGUUGGUGUAUACUUCAACCCUGAAAUAGUAUGUUAAGUAGGUUUUAUUUAGGCCCAGUCAAGAAUUAAGAAAGCACCUAAGCUGUUAAAUUGGAGAGAGAUUACUGAUUUUGUACUUGGAUCUUUUGGCAGUGUCAACUCUAUGGCUUUGGAAGGGAAGAUUCGAGCAGAAAGAAUAUACGUUUCUGGCCUUGAUUGAAUUAUUCGGAGUAUCUUGUCAAGGCAAAACAAAAAAAUGCCAGGGAAAACCAUGUAAAAGUGGCGAUCUCCAGCGUGAAGCAGGAAAAAUAGUAUGAACACUAUGUACAAAUGAUGUGUAUAAUAGAAGAUCUCGAAUCGUUUCCUUCUGAUCUGUGGAAGUGAUGUGAUCCAGAUGACCAAUCCUGUAACAAGACUGAUCUCCCCAGCAAGGUAAAUACGCCCUACCUUUUGCCAUCUCCACAUCUAUAAUUUUCCACAAAAAAGGACUUAGUAACAAAGCUUAGAUACAUAUGUUCAAACUAAAUUGAAAAAGGAAGUAAUGUUCAAAUGAUUACAUGAGGUUACCUCAUCUCCAAUGCGAUGUUUCAUACCCCAGAUUAGAAAAGUACCUCCACCAUGUAAAGUGGCAAAUAAUAUCAUUGCUGUCCCAAGCCAAAUGUGAUAUCUCACGGAAGCUUCAAAUUGGAUGCCAAGUAAUCGAAAUAUUGACAUCCCCCUCAAGAUGGGAAGAAGAAGAAGAGCUAGGCAGGCUUCUGCUAAUAAACCACACCUUGUCGCGACUCUAAAGAUUCUGUAUUGCCAUCUGGAAAUGGCGGAGUUGGAAAAUAUUAUCAGAGAGUACUCUGAUAAUUGUUUUGAAAAUGAUGCUAUAAUAUUUGCAUGGGAAUAUAGGAAUAUACUUACACGGGCAAAGUAAAUGAUUUAAUUGGUAUCAUCUUCUUGAAGUCACUGGAGAUACGAGCGUAGAAUGUCCAUGCUAGAAAGAUGACGAAUAGAGAUACAACAAGGAUUUCAAACCCAGACAGAAUUCCUAUAUACCUAUUCACAACUAGUGGAUUGGAAAGAACAGAUAGUGAAGAUCUUCCUUUCCUGCAACCAAAUUCAGCACAUGUUUGCAUGAAAGAGCCUAUAUUAAACAUUAGUAUGCUUAUAUAUAUACUGCAGGUAAAAAGCAUACCUGCUGGUUGGUUCCUUUUGUUUCAGUUCCAAGUACAUAAAACCUACUAUAGCUAUAGCAAUAACAGGAAAGGUGUAGACUGCAAAAUUAAGACCUGCAGGACCUCAAAAGGAAGAAAAAAAAACAUUCAGUAUUUUGGAGGGGAUUAACAUUGAACAGGACAUUACAUUAACAUUUCUUGUACAGGUAAAUGGUGAGUUUGAAGUUAAACCUAUACAUCUAAAAUAAUUUGAGUUUGGAAUUCAGAACCUCACCAGCUUGGGUUAAGAAUGAGGUUGAUGCCUUUGCUUCUGCAAUUUUCCAACUUUUAGUCCAUAGUUGCGUGGGCUUGAGAAGCCAAAGUGAUAACCAUCCAGCAAAUAUCAAGACAAGUAGCAAUUUAAGGAGGAAAGAGGGAAUUUUAGUCAUCUUUUAAGAAGAGCUGACUCUAUACAUGGAAUGUAACGAGUUUCUAUAUAUAUAGUCUGGUAAAUUAUUCCGAGCACCCUUCUAAUAUGAGUCAAAUGCAGAAUACAUCCCUUGUAUUUCAAGAUCAUACACUUAACCCCCCUUAUACAAUAGAACUCCUACACAAAUAUUAGCUUGAAAAAUAUUUCUACUUUACAAACUGUUAAGUGUUACCCUAUAUUAACAGUGGUAUCUGUUGCUCCCAGAAAUUAUUGUGCGCUCUGCACCAUCCAUCAAUUUUGGAAUCAAUUCUCAUAUAAUAACAAGUUAGACCUGUUUUAAGUGAGAUUGAUGGUGAUGGAUAAUGAUGCCAUCAACUUAUGACAUUUGUGAUGGCUUUCUAAAUGGGAAUAUAUCUUCUUCUUUUUUGCUUACUGAGUGGAUGCUAUUAUCAGCAUAUCUAUUCAUUACAACAGAUGAACCAAUUUGCAGUAGUGGAUACAUGGUCCACUCCACUAUUGCUACAGCCUAUGUUGUCUGACCUUCUUCCGCAUGUAGAUGGGAAAGAGAUCCAAAAAGAUAGCCCUCUACUCUAACUGGUUGACUAUAAUUUGUUCAUUCUGGGAACCAGACCCAUUAUAGACAGGGAGGAACUGGUAGAGCUCUUGUUAACAAGACAGCACAGUGAAUUACUGAUUUUUGCUUCUAGUUGCGCUAGCAGAAAUAUUUUUUGUGAUGGUCCUACAAUGUGGUUGGUAAUUAGAUUACCCCAUAAACUAUGGUGUACUAAUAUGAGAUCAGUUAGAUGAUUAUAAAAAUCAGUGAGUGUGACAUUCGCACCAAAAUAUGUCUGUUUGACCAAAAAGUAUAAUUUUCGGCUAAAACUAUUAUAUUUGUGUAAUAAUGGGUUAAACCUAGUUAAUGAUAAUAUCUCUAGAUGCGAGUUUUGAAAGCGUAUGUGAGGUGGGACAGAUCUAGAGGGCUUACAAUAACAAGCAUUAAAUAGUCAUAAAAUAAAAGCAAUAAUGGAAGAAGGACUAAUAAUAAAUAGCAAUAAAUGACAUUUGAGUAAAUAUGAGGUGCGAUUCACCCAAUAAAUAAUGAGCUAGGUGAUUAUUCCUCAUGACAAUGAUGAAUGACAGACAGAUCUUAGAACAUUCGAAAUCUUCUCAUGGAAAAGUGCAGGAUAAUGUAAACACGAAUCUUGAUAAAAAGAUGUUCUUUGUAUCUUUUCAAAGAGGGAGAGAAUCUUUUGUAAAGUUUGCUCUUAUCACAAUGAAUAUCACAUGCCUCUAUUCAUUAUUUUUUUUGCUAUUUAUAUGGGACAUACCCCCAAUGAGCACUAAUAGUAGAGAAUAUCCAAUAAAAUAUUCUCUUUAAUAUCCUGCCCUAAUAAACUAGUCGUUACAGCUCUGUUUACGGUGCUUGACAUCGACCAUCUUCCACAUCUCGACCACGGGCUUGGUCAUCUCCUGGUCGACCUCGGCCGACUCUUUUCUCGAUACUGCUUAAUCCCAAGUACUGAGGCAAUUUUGACCCAUAUAGUUAGUCCCUCCGCUUAUUAAGGCCGACCCCAGGUGACCUUAAUAAGCGGAUUCUGUUUACUGCGGUUGGCAAAAUUUGGGCGAGCGAGUCGAGCAGUGACGUUUUGGAUGAGAUGACAUUGUGACCUUUCGUGAACUGCAUCUUUUGGGGUUGUGUCACUUUUGUACCAAAAUGACGUCACGACGUCAUGCGUCAUUAUGACGCAUUUUCCCGAUGCUCCGCGUCGUUUCUCGUGCGACUGUCAGUUGGGGGCUGCCGUUUCGACUCCAGUGCCAGGUAAUGAUGGCAUAGUCUCUUGGUUUUGGUGCCUGAAUCCUUAUAAAGAGAGGUGCAACGACGUUCGUUUGCUCCUUAUUUUUUUCAUAAAGAACAUUGUGCCUUCUUCUUCUUCCCUUGAUGCAUAUCUUCCCUAAUGGUUUUAGCGAUUCUCGUUGCUUCUCAUACUUCCUUGCAUGAAUAUCCUCUUUCAAGAAAGAGAAAUAUGGUUAAUGUAUCCUCUGGUUCUAGUGCGAGAAUUGACCAUGUCCCCUUAGUAGUGCUUAUGCCCCCUCGCGCUGAUGGAGUCUCUGUCGCCAUUGAAGAUGAGAAUUUUCCCAUGGCGGAAGAAAUAAUUCCCCGUAGUGAGAAAGUAAGGUCUGACUUUUCGAAGGCAAGCCCGAGGUUUCAGAGUCAGCGAUGAAAGAGAUCGAUUUGACUGAGCUUAGGCAAAAAUUCAACAUUCCUGCCCACAUCGAUCUAGUCCCAGCAGGGCGCGAUAUGGUACAAAUUCCCCGCCCUGGGUAUUGCGCGUUCUAUGCAUAUCCUUUCCAUGUUAGCUAUACUCUUCCCCUUCUCCCGUUGGCGGAGGAAUUUUGCCGCUACUAUGGUGUUUGCCCGGCCCAACUAUCUCCAUACAUCUACAAGCUUAUUAGGAUGCUCACAAAGUUUGCGGAAUUGGCCGGGGUCGAGGUCUCACUCUGCCAUCUGAUGCAUCUCUUCGCCCCUAGCUUCUACAGGGGGACGAUGUUGCACCUUCAUCAUCGAGGAAGUAAAUGCCUGGUAGUGAAGAUGGACGACAAGGCAAAUCGUCACUUCUGGUUCAACUACUUUUUUGUCAGAACCGAAGACGUGGUGCCAAACACGGAUGGCUUCCCUAAGACUUGGAAUUACACUCGUAAGUAUCUUUUUUCUUUUUUCUUUGUUAAAGCACUUGAUUUGUUUUGGUCGCCGAUUCUGACAUUUUGUUCAUUCUUCGUACAACCAAGACUACGCCCCCUCCUUUGGUUGAGGAUAUUUCGAACUGGGUUGGCCGUGUUCUGCCUCACAUUGUGGGGAUUCGUGAAUGGCCGAGCUUUCUCAAGAAGGUCGGGCCUGCUUCUUCCUUGGCCAGUGAGUUCAUCUGUACAAAUUUUGCCAUCUCGACCUCAUGGUCGCUUACUCAUUGCAGUUUUAUUCUUGGUAAUGAUAACCUUUAUUCCUUUUCAGUUCGAGGAUCUUCGAGGAGGCCAAGGGCUCCUUCUCUUACGUUUCGUAGGAGGAAGGCUGAUUCUUCUUCGGAGUCUAUUCCCAUCGUGACCGCGGCUAGGCCUGCCCGAUCAUCUACUUAUGUUCCUUCUUCCACCGCGGCCAGGUCUGCUCGGUCGUCGACCCCACCUUCUGCUGCCUCAGCAUCAGUUUCUUCUCCGCAUGUGGACAUAUCGGCAACAGAGCUUCCGGCUUCCCUUUUGUAUCGUCUAGUAGAUGAGGAGGAAGAGUCGUCGUCGAGCGGUGGGAAUUUAGUUCCCCGUAAGAGAAGGUCGGUUGAUGUCAGUGACGGGAUCGUCAGGGCUAUGGAUUCAGCAAGGGGCGACUUUGUCAUUCGAGGGACGGCGACAAUAGUGCUUGGAGACGACGUCGAGUUGCCGUCCGAGAUUCCGCCAUCGGCUGAGGGCAUGUCCUUUCCCGAAGCCACGAUGGAAGCUGAAGGGCCAUCGAUGAGAGUCCCUGAUAUUUUGUGGCAAGAUGAGCCAUCGGCCUCGCGACCGGUUGAGGGUCCUCCUUCACUGGCCGACAAGAAAGGAAAGAGCGUUGCCGAGGAUGGUUACGAGACGGGCUCUGAUGCUGACACCGAUGAGGUGAGGAUGAUGGGGGAUGGAUUUACCUGACUCAAAGUAAGAUUGGAGGGAUCCACGCGGACCAUUGUGAUCCCCAUGGAUCGAGAUAUUUUGGUUAAUACGGAGAACGUGGUUCCUUCCCUUGGUCCCCUCUGUUCCGACGUGGAGGAUAAAACCCUUGAAAAGCUGGAUGACACUACCUUAUCUAGGAGCAUAGCCGGCCUCGCUCUCAGGGUAAGCUUUUCGACUUCUUUCGUUUUUGUUUGUCAAGUUCAAAGUUUAUGCUUCGUUCUUACUCUUCGUUUUUAGACUGUGAUUUUGGAAAUUGAAAGUGCCCGAAGAGAGGAGAGGCGUAAGGCUAUUUAUCUGAAGAUGGAGCGAAAAUACCGUGAGUACCGUGGCAAGUACCGCGAGAUUUGUAGGCGGUUUAGUGAGGGUGGCAAUUUACAAGCUCUCCGAGACGAGCUGAAGGAAAAGGAUGACGAGCUGGUAAGGGUCAUCGAAAAAUGCAGCGUUCUUGAGGGGGCGCUAAGGGAUAAAGAAGAGGAGUUAGAGGUUAGUAGGGCGGUCGAAGCCCAGUGCGGAGAUCUCCAAGCCCAAGUGGUCUCGCUGCGUGCCGAGUUCGAGGAGUGUGAAUUCAAAGCGGAUGCUUUAAGUGGCGAGGUCGCCGAGAAGGCAGCGGAUCUCGAGAAGGCGAAGUUAGCUCAGUUGGGGGCUAUGAGGAAGACGGAGGCUUUGGAGAUCGCAAUUCGUGUUCUUCGUUACGAGCGAGAGAGCACCUUGGAGACGGCCAGACUAAAAGAAGAGCGGCUUGAUGAACAGAUUGGAGAAUUAGAGAAAAAGGCCUCUGGCCUGUGUGAUCGGGUCGCCGCUCUUGAGGCCUAAAAGGCACAAUUACUGGCCCGACCGUCCUCUUCCCGCACUUAUAAUUUUCCUGAUGUUCCUCGGAAUUUGUACAAGGAGUGGAUUUACUCCUAGGCCCAACUGGAUAUAUUCAGAGAUCUGAUGAGGGCGGGAACCGUUUUAGAAGCCGUCUUCGAGGAUGCUCGUGUUAAGGCACGUGGAGCUCAGGUCGCUUGUGGUUUUGAUCCUGCUACACCGUAGGUCGGUGAUGAUGAGGGGUAUGCGGGCGUAGAUCAGAUUGAAGAGGAUGCCUGGAAUGAGGACGAGCAUCCUGAGGGCGAUGGUGAUGGUGAAGGUGAAGAUAGGGAUGGCUUAGGUGAUCAGGCUGAUGGCGUUGCUGGGCCUGGUGGCGAUUAGCAGUUUUUCUUUUUCUUCUUUUUUUUUUGCCGCAGACUCGUGCGUUUUUUUGUUUGCGUCUUUUCUAGCCUUUGUAAAAAAUAUUCAGAGUAUGAAAUACCAAUUUUGCUAUUUGUACCGGAUUCUUUUUCUUCAGUUCAAACUUGUAUGCUUUAGAUCUCAUUCCUUGGUUGCCUUGGUUUUCUUGUUCGUAAUCAUUUAGCUCGAGUAUGGUUGAACAUAUUCUUAGUUUAAUUGUAGCCCGCGGGUCAACAAGUGUUAGUUCGAUCGAGGUCGAAACAAAACCUAAGUUUGAUCGUGGCCGAGGGCCGGUAGUUGUUAGUUCGAACGAGGUCAAAUGUAUCGUACGUUUGUUUAUAGCCGAAGGCCGGUCAGGUGUUAAUUCGAACAAGGUCGAAUAUAACCUAUACUUGGUCGUGGUCGAGGACCGUUUAGGUGUUGAUUCGAACGAGGUCGAAUAUAAUAUAUACUUAGUUAUGGCCGAGGGCCAUUUAGGUGUGAAUUCGAACAAGGUCGAAUAUAACCUAUACUCAGUUAUGGACGAGGGCCGUUUAGGUGUGAAUUCGAACGAGGUCGAAUAUAACCUAUACUUAGUUAUGACCGAGGGCCGUUUAGGUGUGCCUUUAGGCGCGGCAUUUGUCGGCAUUGUAAUCUUUAAAUGCGACGUUGCCUUGGUUAUACAUUUGGAGAAAUAGAAUUGAACUUCGUGCAUUUGUGCUUUGUUCAUACACUUGGAGAAAUUUACAUAAUUUUUUCGGACAUUGGCUGGCAUUUCAACCCCAGUCCCAGUCCUAGCCUAUCCAGUCCCUUCAAUGGUCGACCUGGAGAAGUCUCGAGAGGUCGAGCAAUGAACUAGCCGUCCUAUGCCUCCGUCUGUGCGUACUUCAACUUGAAGCGUCUCCUCCGUCGCCUCGUUAAAAACCUCCUCGAGAAAAUCCAAUUGGGUCAAAACUCAAGUGAGGGAAAAAGAGUACGACUUUGGGGACGCUUCAUGUCUUAAAACUUGAAGUACUUGAGGUGUGCAAUGUUCCAGUUGUUUGGUAGUAGCUUUCCUUCCAUUGUUUCCAGUUGGAAUGACCCAUUGCUUGUUGUUGUGAUUUUGUAUGGGCCGUCCCAAUUGGUUCCUAGUUUACCUUUCCUGUGGGUCUUUGCUCACUUGUGUUUUAGCUUUAAGCACGUAGUCCCUGACUUGAGUGGCAUGAUCUUUGCUUUUUUGUUAUAAUAGCGUUCUGUUUGUUGCUUUUGGGCGAUCAUCCUUAUGUAGGCCAUAUCUCUUCGUUCAUCGACUUUAUCGAGUUCCUACCUUCUGCUUUCAUCGUUGAUGGGUCCGCUUUCAUGGGAGUAUCUUAGGUUGGGCUCCCUGACUUCGACCGGUAUUACUGCAUCAGUCCCAUAAACCAAUGAGUAAGGCGUCUCUCAUGUGCUCGUCUUCAGCGUUGUUCGGUAGGCCCAGAGUACUUCUGGUAAUAUUUUCGACCACAACCCUUUGGCGUCUUCGAGUUUCUUCUUCAUGAUGUUCAAUAUCGAUUUGUUGGAGGAUUCCGCUUGUCCGUUUCCCACGGGGUGGUAUGGCGUUGAGAGUAUUCUUUUGAUAUGACAUUUCUCAAAAAACUCAGUGACUUUCUUUCCUAUAAAUUGGGGUCCAUUGUCACAGCUGAUCUCCUUGGGUAGGCCGAAUCGACAUAUGAUGUUUUUCCGUAUGAAGGUGAUCACCUCAUGCUCAUGUAUUUGGGCGAAUGCUCGUGCUUCUACCCAUUUGGAGAAAUAAUUAGUUAAAACCAAAAGAAAUCGUACGUUACCUCGUCCUGCCGGGAGGGGGCCCACGAUGUCCAUUCCCUAUUUGAUGAACGGCCAAGGGGAAGUCACUGAGUGUAGGUGUUUGCCUGCUUGGUGAAUCAUUGGGGCAUACUUCUGGCAUUGCUCGUAUUUUUUCACGAAAUCCGCGGCCUCCUUUUUCAUGGUGGGUCAGUAAUAUCCCAUCUGUAUGAGGCAUCUAACCAAAGCCCGAUUGCCGGAAUGAGCUCCACAGUGGCCUUCGUGUACUUCCUCAAGGACGCGCCGUGUCUAAUUUGGGCCCAGGCAUUUCGCUAGAGGGCCGCCGUAUAUCCUCUUGUACAAGUCGUUGUGAAUGAUGAUGUACAUUGCUGCUUGCAUCCACAAUUUCUUGGCUUCUUUUUUAUCAACUGGGAGUAUUCCGUCCUGCAAGUAUGUAACAAUACGGUUGCGCCAGUCCCCAAGUCAAAUUUAUGGUUCUUACCUCGAUUAGGUAUAUUGAUGAGUUGAAAAGAUGGACUACGUUUCUAUCUUCGGUUGUAAUGCUUUUGGUGACUAAUACUAAUUUGGCGAGGCUGUCUGCCUCGGUAUUCUGUGCUCAGGGGAUCUGGUCGAGUUGGCACUCGUCGAACUCGGGUAGUAGCUUGCAGAUUUUGGUCUAGUACUUCUGUAACCUUUGUUCCUUGAUUUGGAAAGUCCUUAUGACUUGGUUGACCACGAGUUGCGAAUCGCAACACAGUCUUAGCCGCUUCGCUCCGUAUUUGAAUGCUAGUCUUAAUCCUGCAAUUACGGCCUCAAACUCGACCUUGCUGUUAGUCAUGUCUGGGCACCUUAUGGACUGGCGAAUCACUUCGCCUGUUGGGACUUCGAGUACAAGUCCCAGCCCGGACCCUGACGCGUUAGAUGCGCUGUCAAUAUACAGGACCCAGAGGUUUUGCGUUUAGGGAGAAGUGUGGACGACUUCUUUUUCGACUCCGGGCAUUAUUUUUGCGCUGAAGUCGGCGACGAAGUCUGUAAGGACUUGUGACUUUAUCGUUGUUCGCGGCCGAUAUGUGAUAUCGUGCUCGCUUAAUUCGAUGGCCCAUUUGGCCAACCUGCCUGAUAGAUCGGGUUUAUGCAAAAUGCUUCUUAGGGGGAAAGUCGUGACAACCGAGACGGGGUGGCAUUGGAAAUAUGGUCUAAGCUUUCGUGAAGCUACGACUAAGGCCAGAGCCAGUUUUUCAAGGUGGGGGUAUCUCGUCUCGGCGUCGACUAGUGUUUUGCCAAUGUAAUAGAUGGGAGACUGCGUACCUUUAUUUUCUCGGACCAAGACCGCACUCACAUCUACUUCGGAACGGCGAGAGAGAUGAGGAGUUGUUGCCCCGGUUCUGGUUUUGAAAGCAAUGGUGGCGAUGCCAAGUACACCUUUAACUCCUCCAGGGCUUGGGCGCACUCGAGGGUCCAUUGGAGGUUGUUAUCCUUUUUGAAUACGCCGAAGAAUCUAUGGCACCUAUCAGAUGAUCGUGAAAUGAAUCUUGAAAGGGCAGCGAUACGGCCAGUCAAUCUCUGAACUUGCUUUUUAGUGGUCAAGUGCUCUGGUAUCCCUUCGAUGGCCUUGAUUUGGUCGGGAUUGACCUCGUUACCCCGUUGUGACACUAUAAAACCUAAGAAUUUUCCUGAGGCCACGCCGAAUGCACAUUUUUCGGCGUUCAGUUUCAUUCUGUAUUUCCUGAGUAUGCCGAAAGCUUCUCUCAAGUGGUCGAUGUGAUCUUCUUUCCUUUAGGAUUUGACUAGCAUGUCAUCAUAUAAACUUCCAUCGUUUUUCCGAGUUGGUCUUUGAACAUCCUCGUCACCAACCUUUGAUAAGUCGCCCACGCAUUUUUCAGCUCUAAGGGCAUGACCAUGUAGCAGUACGUCCCCUGAUGAGUGAUAAAGGUGAUUUUUUCCUGAUCCUCUUCCUCCAUGAGGAUCUUAUUAUAGCCCGAGUAGGCGUCCAAGAAGCUUAGCAGUUCAUGUCCGGCCGUUGCGUCGAUGAGUUGGUUGAUAUGGGGUAGUGGAAAUGAAUCCUUGGGGCAUGCUUUGUUCAAGUUAGUGAAAUCUACACACAUCAGCCAUUUUCCGUUCUUUUUCACCAUGACCACGUUGGCGACCUAUUUGGGGUAUUUAGACUCCCUGACGGAGCCAUUUUCCAACAACUUUUCCACCUCUUUGCGUAUUGCAUCAUUAAUCGACAUCGGGGGGUGGAAUUUCCACCUCUUCGCGGAGUUGAACUUACGCCUAACCUGCCUCACCGGGGGGUGGAAUUGAUCGACAUUCAAUUUGUGUGUGGCGAUCUCCUUUGGGAUACCUGGCAUAUCUGCAUGGCUGAAAGCAAACAAGUAUGCGUUAGCAGUUAAGAAUUGACGAAACUUACCCGGUUCCUGAAGUUUGCAUCCGAUAUAAGCUUUCUUGCUGUGGUCGUUGAUGUCUAAUUAAAUGGGGUCGAGGUCCUCUACGGUCGAUCCUGCAGCUUCGACCGUAUCGGGGUCUCUGAUGACGUCCUCGCUGUCAUCACAUAUCGACCUCGGCCAUGUUGAUUGCUAUGCCUCUUCUUCUUUGUCCUUUGUUUGUUGGGUGGUUGUACAGUCUAAGGCGAUGCGGUAGCAUUCCUAGGAUGUGCGUUGUUCCCCUCGUAUACUAAAUAUCCCCCAUGGAGUUGGGAAUUUGAUGACUUGGUACAAGUUGGAGGGGAUGGCUCUCAUGAUAAGUAUCCAUGGUCGCCCUAUUAUGGCGUUGUACGUUGUGUCUUGGUCCAUGAUAUGGAACGUGGUUUCCAGCGUGACGCCACCGGCCAGGACUUGGAGUGUGAUCUCACCGGAUAUUCGCUCAACUGUAUUGUUAAAACCCGUUAGUGUGAUGCAGCGCGACACUAUCUUAUCCUCUUGUUUCAUUUGUGCAAGCACUUGAUGGUGGAUAAUGCAUGCGCCACUCCCAUCGUCUACUAUAAUGCGCCUCACAUCGGUAUCUAAAAUUUGUAAAGUGAUUACAAGAGCAUCAUAGUGAGGGAGAACCAAGCCGUUGGUAUCUGACUUGUCGAAGAUUAUACUUUCUUCGAGUUCAUCAUACCGUUCGUGGGUGAUCGACCGUUUGAGCUUGUGGGUUGUGGUGAACUUCACACUGUUGAUGGAAGCAUCGUCGCCUCCCCCGAUGAUCAUGUGGAUGGUACGGGUCGGCGAGGGUGGUUUCGGCGGUCCUUGAUGUUGUUCACGUCCUCUGGCAAAGUUGGUCCCUCCCCGGUCGCUCAACAACUCUUUGAGGUGUCCCUGUCGUAGCAUGUUUACGACCUCAUGUUUUAGGGCGAUGCAAUCUUCGGUUUUGUGUCCUCGCUCUUGAUGGAACUCGCAGAGGGCAUCUGAUUUUCUGGUAUUCGGGUCUGACCUCAUCUUUUGUGGCCACUUCACCUUCAGUCCGAGCUUCUCCAAGGCGUAGAUUAUUUCUGUAUGUGACACACAAAAAUUGUGAGCGGAUAAUAAAUGGGGCAUACAUUUCUUGUUCCGGUGAAUCCCUGUUUUUGAUCGGGGUGGGCCUUCUUCGUGGCGAGUUGAGGACGUAGUGGCGGUUCUGACAUAUGAUAGAUGCAGUUCCCAGUUGGGUCGCGAGGCUGUGAGGUCUCUUCUGAUAUCAUUUCUUCUAUCUUUCCUGGAUUCUGCUUGCACCGAGGUCAGUCGAUGGGUGAGCCCAUUGAGGUCAUCCUCGUCUGCUCGGACUUCGGCGCAAUAUGCGUUGUGUAUCUCAUCCCAAGUAGUUGGGGGGUACUUCAUAAGUCGACUCGGUAGCUUUCUUGUCGCCCUCGAACCAUUUCUGCUCAGUCCGUUUUGAAAAGCUGCGACCGUCAUCCCUUCCGAUACAUUUGGCAAGGUCAUUCUCACUCGGUUGAACCGGGCGAGGAAAUCCCUCAAUCCUUCUCCCGAAGACUGUUUAAUAACAAAUAUGUCGUUUACUCUCGCCUCUGCCUUUUUGGCUCCAACAUGGGCCGUUACGAACUUAUCGGCCAUUUCUUCGAAGGUUUCAAUAGAGCGUGCAAGCAGUUGUGAGUAUCAAGUUAACGCUCCUCCUGUGAGGGUCUCGCCGAACUUUUUUAACAAAAUGGAGGAUACUUGUUCCUUGGCAAGGUCAUUCCCUUUAACGGCGUCACAUGGUCUUCGGGGUCGGUCGUGCCAUCAUAUAUUUUCAGGUAAGACGACAUCUUAAAGGUCUUUGGUAUGGCAUGUGGGGCGGCAUCAUCACUGUACAAUUGCUCGACGAACCGUCUGGCAUCUCUCUUCGGCAAGAGCUUAGGGGCGUCUGGUAUCUUAUCGACUCUCUCUUUGUGUUCUCUCAUUUGAUCUCGAAGCGUUUUGUUCUCAUUUUUCAUUUCCUCCAUUCUUUUAAAAAUGGUUGUGAGAGUGUCGACACCAGCAUUAUUAACGACAUUGUGAGUAAUACCUGCCGUUGGAGGAGAAGGGAGUUGACCAUGCUGCUCGUUCGCUGGUGGUAUAACGCAAGUCCUUGCGUUAUUUGUAGCUGCGUCCCGAGCGGGCUUAUGGAGGACGCUGGAUAGCGUGUCAGUUAGCCAGGCCUCUAGGAGCUUUUUUAUUGCUGGUGGCGCCUCCUCCGCCACGGAUGUGGAGGCUUCCUUGCCAAGAGACUUUGUGAUUAUGUCGUGGGGAAAGGGGUGAUCCACCUCGCCUGGGAGAGGCAUUGGGCGUUGCGCCCUCGUCCACUUCUUCAGAGCUCUCAUUGAAUAUGUUCAUGAGGUUGGUUGGGAGGUCACUCAUUAUUCUCAUUCUUUCUUCUCUGUUACCUGUCAUAUUAGAUCUAUGUAUGCAGAGAGAAAAUGAUCUUGCUCUUGUUUUGUUUUUUUUACGUUAGUAACGAGUGUCAGUUGUACAUCUAGAAGAAACUAAAAAUUCAACUAGAUAAUCCCCAUAGACGACGCCAAAUUGUUUGACCAAAAAGUAUAAUUUUCGGCUAAAACUAUUAUAUUUAUGUAAUGAUGGGUUAAACCUAGUUAAUGAUAAUAUCUCUAUAUGCGAGUUUUGAAAGCGUGUGUAAGGUGGGACAGAUCCAGCAAGGGACUGACAAUAACAAGCAUUAAAUAGUCAUAAAAUAUAAGCAAUAAUGGAAGAAGAGUUGAUAAUAAAUAGCAAUAAAUGGUAUUUGAGUAAAUAGGAGGAGUGAUUCACUCAAUAAAUAAUGAGCUAGGUGAUUAUUCCUCCUGACAAUGAUGAACGAUAGACAGAUAUUAGAACAUUCGAAAUCUUCUCGGAUCUGAUGGAAAAGUGCAGGAUAAUGUAAACAAGAAUCUUGAUAAAAAUGUGUUCUUUGUAUCUUUUCAAGAGGGAGAGAAUCUUUUGUAAAGUCUGCUUUUAUCACAAUGAAUAUCAAAUGUCUCUAUUCAUUAUCUUUUUUGCUAUUUAUAUGGGACAUACCCCCAAUAAGCACUAAUAGUACAUGUACAGAGAAUAUCCAAUAGAAUAUUCUCUUUAAUAUCCUGCCCUAAUAAACUAGCCGUUACAGCUCUGUUUACGGCGCUUGACAUCGACCAUCUUCCGCAUCUCGACCACGGGCUUUGUCAUCUCCUGGUCGACCUCGACCGAUUCCUUUCUCGAUACUUGAUUAAUCCCAAGUAUUGAGGCGAAUUUCGACCCAUAUAAUGUCUCCCUGCAUACCUAAAACUGCUACAACAGAAAGCUUAAGUGGAAACUCAGAUUAAUAAUUGCAUUUGGAAACAGAUGAACAAUAGCUACAACGGAAAAGGGUCAUAUUUGACCUUGUACUCUUCAAAAAGGGUUACAUUUGCCAUUCUUUAUACUUUUUUGAUAUAUUUAUCCUUACCUUAUACUUUAGGAUUAUAUUUGCCCCUCAUCCGUUAAAUUCACAUGUCCCACCUUUGUUUUCCUACAUGGCGCCUAUGUGAAUUUCUUUUUCUCCCAAUUUAAAUAUGGUCACCUAUUUAAGAUAAUUUUACCCGCCCACCCAAUUAAACCCAACCCACUAACUAAAAUAAACCAAAAUCCUAAUUCCCAAACCCCCGACUCGUCCAUCUCUCUUCUCCGGGCCAGCUUCAUGUUUCCCGGCAGAGCGAAAAAAUUCUGGACAGUGGUUGCUGAAACACAGCAUUUGGAAAUGUACUACACUGGUGAUUACUUUUGUUAUACAGUUUAAGCACCUUCUUGGUGCUAUUUAGUAAUGAAAUUUAAACUUUUACCUGAUAAAAGGAAAAAGAAAAAGAAAAACUCAGAUGAGCAAGUCUUAUUUUAUUAGUUAGCUAAUUAAACCUCUAGUAUCAGCUAUAUAUUAUCUGAUGUUUUUGUAUUAUUUCAUCAUACUAGUUGAUGCCAAUCAAGCAUAGACAUGAAUUAAGCUUAAAGGCUAAAGCCCCUCCGAAUAAUUUCAGGACUACUGGUGAUCGCAAGAUAUUGAUGAUUUUAAACUGUCUACUCGUCAAGACGUGACCAAAUUAGUAGUCCGAAGAAUGGAGAUAUAACGAAUUAUGAUUUUUAGUGGAUUUUCACAAGCCUUUGCUAAUAUAAUAUUCUGAAUCUUACGGGAAAAAGAUAAAUGGCAUAUUGGAAGAAAAAUCAAAUGAUAGUAAAUACUAGCCAUUGGUUUGCAUUUUUAGCACAUCAUGAAUCAUGAUAUGGUCCAAAAACACUUUACCUCGUGCAAAAAGCCUUAAUUCCCAUUAAAAACAAACUAGAUGGCUUCAUUGCCUCUUAGAUCGCUAUCUGAGGUCGGUCCAAAGAGAAAAUAGCAAGGAGAAGCAUGUUACGGUUGAGAAAUAGAAAAGCAAAUUUUCUUUUUACGUAAAAGGCACAGUUGGUACAUAGAAUGUGACAUGUUCAAAAGCUUGCAAAUGUUGACAAAAGAAAGAAUCAAAACCUUUUUCCUUACUUUGUGUCUUCGAUAGCGACGACCUUUGUUUGUUUUCCUCAUAAUCGGCCAAUUCCGUAAGCAUUUAAUAUUUGUUUCCUUCUUCCAUAUCUCCUCCCUUCUUUUAAGUCCACAAUAUUUAUCCCCAGUCCCCACUAAGCCAUUUCUUUUUUUCCCUUUUUGGAGUGGAAGAGAUGGGGGUGUAUAAUUCACUGCUUGAAUAGUAGUAGCGUCAAGAUUUAGAAAAGAGAUGUCUUGGGAAAUCGAAGAGAUUGGAGAAGAUAGCAAGAGUGAAGUAAGUAACAAUGAUGGUGGAGGAAUAACGAAUGAUGUUUAUGUAGCUGUUGGCAAAAAUGACUUGCAUGUUCUUCAAUGGGCGCUUGAUCAUACCAUCUCCCCAGGAAUUCGCAUUUGCCUUGUCCAUAUUUUUCCUCCUAUUACUUACAUACCUUCACCAGGUAAUUGUUACUCCAUUUGUCAAUUUAGUGUGAAUUUGAUGCUUCAUCCAAAACAGUAGCACAUACAUAGGAAAAUUGUGUUACUUUUUCAUACUGCGUCUUCACUACUUUUUCCCCCUUGAUUACUACAGCUUUACAGAAUGAUGUAUUGAAGAAAUCAGGGGAAUGUUAAGUUAGGAUAAUCAGUAAAUCAAGCAAAAGAGGGAAUCCGAGAAUACGAAUAGCUUUUUAGUUUCAUGAUUAGAUAUUUAAUGUUCUGCUCAAUUCUUUGCUUAUGUGACUACACUAACACCACUUGAAUGAAAAUAAUAUAAAAUAAACAUCCAUUCAAAAUAGAAAGUAAAGUCUUAAAACUCUAGACCCAAACUCACAUACAAGCCGGUUAUGAUAAAAGGUCAACAUCUCUCGAACAAAAUUCUGCAAACGCUAUUGAUUGCGGCAGCCUGAUCGCAUGAAGAUGCCUGGCUCAAAGAGUAUUAAUAUCAAUUAACAAAAUUAUUCAUAUACAGUCAAAUCUCUUUAUAACAACCUCAUUUGUUACGAUAUUUUUUGGUUGUUAUAGAGAAGUGUUGUUAUACAAGACAUCUAUUAUCACAUAAUAUAAAAAUUGGUUUCGAGACGCUACUUGUUUAAUUUCUCUCGAGAUGAGCCAACCCAAAGUAUGAUGCUUCUGAGCUUGUAGUAGCUAACAACGAGACUAAAAGCUGCCUACCUUGACAAGUUGCAUAGGUUAUUAUGUCACAAUGUAUCUGGUCCUUUGUCAAUUGAGAGGCUAGUCAAGAUAUAGAAAUUGUUUGCACAUUGCGUCAUUUAUAUUCCAACUAAAAUUUCCUUCUUGAACAAACUUUAGCAAAAAGGGUGAAAUAUUAAUGAGGAAAAAGCAACAAAAAAAAAAGGACUUUUUGGCCAACUUGUUAACAAUUUGAAUUUUGCUUUGAAAGUUGGGAAGUUAUCAAAAAGCCAAUUGAGUAGAGAGCAGGUGCAAGCCUACAUCAAUCAAGAGAGUAAUAGGAGGAAAAAUCUCUUGGAAAAAUACAUCCGCCUAUGCAAUGAUGCCAAGGUAGGUGCAUUUGUACAUUGUCAAAUCAAAGGUUGAUUCUUGUUGAUUAACUGGGAAUCAAUGCAGGUAGCAGUAGAUACUGUACUUGUGGAGAGCAAAUCACCAGCCAAAACAUUACUUGAUCUAAUCACCGUCGUCAACGUUACCAGCCUUGUGAUUGGAACUAAGCGAUCACUUUCCACCAUGUAAUUAGACAUAUAUAGUUUUCUGUUAGCUCACAUCUGAUAUUUUUGUCCAAUUUGAUCUGUAUAAGUUGGAAUUUGAAGAACUAAAGAGUUCUGGUGUUUUUAUUUUCGUUACAGACGAGUGAAGAAGGGACAUGGAGUAGGAGAAUAUGUUCAAAAGAAUGCACCGGAUUUCUGUCAAGUUAAAGUCGUUAGUGAAGGCAAAGAGAUUAAGAACGAGCAUGUCAAAGGGAGUAGUAAUCCUACUUCUCUUGUGCGUAGUAAACAAACUGACAGGAAUUUCUUUGAAUGCAUGUGCUUUUCUGGCAAGUUUAAUUGAAAUGUGGGAAGAAAUACGAGGAAAGUUGGUCUUUGUACAAGUUUAAUAGCAUAGCGUUACUCUCAAUUUUCUAAUUUAGAUAUUAUGUCUAGUACAUUAAAUGAUUAAAUGAUAAAUUAGAGAAAAUACUCCAAAAUGUCCACAACUAAAUAACCCAGUAGUUAAUUUUUAUUCACACUUUGAUUAUGGUGUUAAUUUGUGUUACCUCCAUAUCAAUUUGAAGAAGGUAUCUCCUCUCUGUUUGUUAAUUAGGCAAAUUCUAUAAUAAAUCAGUCAUUAUUUUGAACAAAUUAUAAGCUACAUUUUAAAAAAAUUAUACUACUGUAAGAUUAAAUUAUACGUUCAAGUAGAUACUUUAAAAUUAAACAACCAAACUUUGUUUGAUACCCACUUUAAUUUUUUUAUACUCAAUUUGUUUUUUUGUUUGUUUGUUUAUUCCCUUCAUUUGUCAAGGUAUUAAGUAGAAAAGUAUGAUAGUUCAUAAACCUAAAACAAUUUACAACCCCAUAACUUUAAAUUCGCUAUAUUAUUUUUGCACUAAUAAAUGGUGUUUGAUAAGACCAACUUAUAGGCCUCUUUUAACUUAUCAUUGCGUUUGAUAAAUAAUGUUUACAAGUUAAAAUCAGUCAAAAAUCUGUAAGUUGGAUUAUCUAUUUAUCGGGUUUUUAGCAUACUAAUUUUUAUGUACGUGCGUUGCACAUAAAUUUUAGUCAAUUAUUUAUAUAAUACAACAAAUUAAAUUUAUGAUGGUUUAAAUAUUUAUUUAUAUGAAGGAAUAACAAAAUUUAAUUAAUGAGAGAAAUUUUAUAUAUAAUAAUACAACAAUCAUCUAAAUGCCAAAAAAUAUUGUUACAUUAGCAUAAUACGUGAAUUCAAAAUGAAAGGACAUAAUCAGAACUUACAUAAAUGAUUAAUUUUAGUCAUGUUAGGUAGAUAAUUAUGUAUUGUAGUUUAAAGGUAUCUAAUGUGAUGGUAUCUUACCGAACAUUUCUUUAUAAAAGAUGUUAUUUUGUAUAUAUUUCCUUCUAUUACUUUGGUUGCUCCAGUUCGAGUCACCCCAAGAGCAAGGUGGAGAGUUCUUGGAGGGAGGGAGCCGAGGGUCUAUCGGAAACAGUCUCUCUACCCCAGGGUAGGGGUAAGGUCUGCGUACACCUACCCUCCCCAGACCCCACUAGUGAGAUUAUACUGGGUUGUUAUUGUUGUUGUUGGUUUGGUUGCUCUGCCAUAACCAGAACUCUUGUUGUCGAUAUUGAUAUCUCUCUUGAAAAUAUAACAUAUAGUUAUUCGUGUAAGAAAAUAUAUUAUUAUAAAUAUAGUUCAAUAUUUAGGAUGUUUGUCCUUGUGCUUUAUUUGUUAUAACUACAAAACAUAAACACACUAAAAAUUAUUUUAAUAUAAAUUUAAAAGGAUAUUCUUUAGUUUUGGAAGACGAAAGUGAAUUCGGGGAUAAAUACAUACUUAGAAGUAUAUUGACCAUUAUCAUUAGUUCUGCAUAUGUGACGUUAUUGUCAAAACUUCUAUAUACCAUUAUGUGUACUAUUACCUAAGUUACUCAGCGGAUCUAAGUUUUCAGUAGCAUAGCGGGUAUAUUUUUCCUCAAAAUCAACCUAUAUGCAAUAAAAGAUCAAUUUUAACUUAGUCUACUAUAUAUAUGGUGGCACUAAUAUACGUAAAAAAUAAUGAACUUGACAACAAACAUGUACGGUAGAAAGCCAUUUGGUAUUAAAUUAUUUAAGUUUUCUUCUUGGUAGUAAUUGUUGGUAUCAUCUUUUGCUGAGUCAAAACUAAAAAAUAUUUUAUUUUUACCAUAAAACUGAAUAUUUUUCAUUUGAGGACAUAAGUAUAAUUUUGGCAAGCUAGCUUUUACAGUUUCUGCUUUCGUCAAUUUUGGAGCUAUUGAUCGUACAUGAUAGAAAUCACCUCCCAAACUAUUAUUUUUUUACCAAACAGUUCAUUAAUAUCCAAUAUAUCUCUAAAACUCUGGGCGAUUAUUUUGAUCGUUUGACGCUUAGCCAAAAGCGCUUCAUCCCAUAUUAUGACUUUUGUUUUCCUUAUAAAUUUAGCAUUAUUGCUCUGUUUUGAUAUAUUUGUGAUGGUUAUGUAACGACCCAACUUUUUAUUUUGAGAAGUUACGUUCCGUUCAGCGACUUAAGGUCCCGAGCAAUUUCGUAAUAUGUAUUAUGACCCGCAUGUGUUGUCGAGUUUGGUUUUCAGAAGAUUUGAAGUUUAAUUGGAAGAACAAUUUCUCAUUUUUGAAGCCUAAAUGAAAAGAGCUGAUCGGAGUUUGACUUUUGGGCAAAUGACUCCGGAAUGGAGUUUUGAUGAUGUCAAGAGUUUUGUAUAGUGAUUUCGGACUUAGGCAUAUGUUCAGAUUUGGAUUUGGAAGUCCGUAGGACAAUUCGGCACAUUUCGGCAAAAAGUUGGAAAAUGUACUUGAAAUAUUCAUAAAUUCGACCGUAAGUCGAUUUAUUGAUAACGAGGUCGGAUUUCGAUUCCGAGAAUUGAAACAGCUCCAUUAUGCCGUUUAUGACUUGUGUACAAAAUAUGAAGUCAUUCCGGAUUGAUUUGUUACGUUUCGGCGCAAAAUAUAGAAGUUGGAAGAUUUGAAAACUCAUAAUUCGAUUCGAGACGCGAUUCACAAUUUCGGCGUUGUUUGACGUAGUUGAGGCCUCGACUAAAUUCAUAUUGUAGUUUAAUACGUGUUGGUUUAUUUGGUUAAGGUCCCGGGUAACUCGGAUGAGUUUCGGGCGAGGUUCAGAUCGAAAUUGGACUUAUUGAAGCUGUUGGAAAUCUGUUGCUGGUGUUUUCGCUUCUGCGGGAAGCUUCAUCGUAGAAGCGAGAUGAAGCUCACAUAAGCGAAAUUGGGAAGGAAUGCUGGACUGGACGGAGGUCGCAGGUGCAAAGAAUUUUCCGCACCUGCGGGAUCGCAGAAGCGGGUGAAAGGAAUGCAGGAGUGGGCAUCAACGCAGAAGCGCAACUCCAGCCGUACCUGCAGUUGCACAGAAGCAGAGCCUUGUCCGCAGGUGCGUGGUUUCGGUUGGCAGUGGUCUGUCGCAGAAGCGAGAUUGGUCUCGCAAAAGCGAGGUCGCAAAUGCGACCAAUUGUUCCGCAGAAACGGAACUGGGCAGAAUCAUAAAGACCAAACAUGGUCAUUUUGUCAUUUUUCGAUUGGGAUUUUUGGAGCUCAGUUUUGGGCAAUUAUGGAGGGAUUUUUCACAAGCUUGGUUGGGGUAAGUGUUCUAUAUCCGAAAGUGACUACAUUCCAUGAAUUUAUGGUUAUAUUCAUCGUUUAAUUCGAGUUUUAAAGGAGGAAAUUGGGAUUUUUUGUAAAAUUUUUCAAAGACGGAAAUUCAAGAUUUGGAAGACGAUUUGUUAUUGGAAUUCGAUAAAAUUGGUAUGGUUGGACUCGUAUCGGAAUGGGUAUUCGGAUUUCGUAAAAAUUUUGUUGGGUUCAGAGAGGCAAGCCCCGCGUUGACUUUUGAUUGACUUUUUAAUGUUAAAUUUUAAGUCGAUGUUUUAUUAUCCAAAAUUAUUUUCGAUGAAUUUUAAUGAAGUUACACAAUUAAUUUGGUUAGAUUUGAGCUACCUGGAGGUCAAUUCAAGAAAGAAAGCUAUUAUGGAAUAUCGGUCUAACUUCAAAGAGGUAAGUAUCUUGCCUAAUCUUGUGUGAGGGAAUUACCCCUUAGGCAUUGAGUCGUAUGUGCCAUUUGAGUAAUGUGAAAGCCGUGUACGUGAGGUGACGAGUACGUACUCGGGCUUAUAUGUGCAAAUUGUGUUGGUUUAAAGUCGUAGGAAUUCUUAAGUAUUAAAUUGGAAAUCUGCUGGCGCUUAUUAAAUCCUUAUUUGUCAUGCCUCGUUCUUUGUUUGUCGAAUUUGUUUUAUAUGCUAAUUUGAUGUGAUUGCUACUUUGAUCCUUAUAUGGAUUCCGUGUGCUGGUUGAGUUGACAUUUUCUGAAAAUAAUUAUAUUUUGGAUUUUUCAUCUGCAAAUAAUUAUUAAAUAAGUUUAAAUGGAGAUGUUAAUAUAUUUAUCAGAAAUUUGGAUUUAAGAAGAGGUUGCUCUUGUUGAGUUAUUCUUCCGUCUUUGCUAUUGCAUAUUUAUUUUGGGACUAUGAGGCGGUAUCUCGGGAGAUCCCCCUUGUACUGCAUAUUUACUUUGGGACUACGAGGCGUUUACUUGGGAGAUCCCCCUGUACUGCAUAUUUACUUUGGGACUACUAGGCGUUUACUCGGACGAUUCUCCCUGUAUUGCAUAUUUACUUUGGACUACGAGGCGAUUACUCGGGAGAUCCCCUAUGUACUGCAUAUUUACUUUGGGACUACGAGGCGUUUACUUGGGAGAUUCUCUUGUACUGCAUAUUUACUUUGGGACUAUGAGGCGGUACCUCGGGAGAUCCCCUUGUCUUGCAAGAUCCCCCUUUUCUUGCAUAUUUAUUUUAGGACUACGAGGCGGUACCUCGGGAUAUCCCCCAGUCGAGCAUCCAGAUGGCACUGUAUGAGGCUCUGUAUGGUAGGCGGUGUAGGUCUCCAGCUGGUUGGUUCGAGCCGGGCGAGGCUAUAUUAUUGGGCACAGACUUGGUUCAUGAUGCUUUGGAGAAGGUUAGGGUAAUUCAGCAUAGACUACGCACAACCCAGUCCAGGCAGAAGAGUUAUGCGGAUCGGAAGGUUCGCGAUACUGCAUUUAUGGUUGGGGAGCAGGUAUUGCUCCGGGUGUCACCCAUAAAGGGUGUUAUGAGGUUCAGAAAGAAGGGCAAGAUGAGCCCGAGGUUUAUCGAUCCAUUUGAGGUAUUGCGACGUGUUGGGGAGGUUUCUUAUGAGCUUUCCUUGCCUCCCAGUCUAACAGGAGUUCAUCCAGUAUGCCAUGUUUUUAUGCUCCGGAAGUAUCACGGCGAUCCGUCUUGCAUAUUGGAUUUCAUCUCAGUCCAGUUGGAUAAGGAUUUAUCUUAAGUUGAGGAGCUGGUGGCAAUCUUAGAUAGGUAGGUUCGAAAGCAGAGGUCGAAGAGUAUUGCUUCUGUGAAGGUUCAGUGGAGGGGUCAGCCGGUCGAGGAGGCGAUUUGUGAGACCGAGCAUGAUAUGCGCAGACGUUAUUCUUCAAGUAUGUCUCUAUGCUCGUUCGAGGACGAACGAUUGUUUUAAGAGGGGGAAAUGUAACGACCCGGCCGAGGUCUUGUUUUUGGUUUCAGAGUGUUUUGGGACACUUAGUCCCUAAAAUGGAAGCUUAAGUCUCAGGAUUUUUACCGUAGUCAGAAGUGUGUGAAGACGACUAUGGAAUGGAGUUCCGUCGGUUCCGUUAGCUCCGUUGGGUGAUUUUGGACUUAGGAGCGUGUCCAGACUGUGAAUUUGAGGUAUGUAGCUAAUUUAGGCUUGAAAUGGCGAAAGUCGAAUUUUUGGGAAGUUUGACCAGGGGUUGACUUUUUGAUAUCGGGUUCAGAUUCCGAUUCCGGAAGUUGGAGUAGUUCUGUAAUGUUGAAUAUGAUUUGUCUGCAAAAUUUGGGGUCAAUCGGACGUGGUUUGAUAGGUUUCGGCAUCGGUUGUGGAAAUUUGAAGUUUCUAGUUUUUUAAGAUUGAAUUGGAGGGCGAUUCGUGAUAUUUAGCAUUGUUUGAUGUAGUUUGAGGGCUCGACUAAGUUCGUAUGGUAUUUUAGGACUUAUAGGUAUGUUUGGUUGAGGUCCCGGGGGCUUCGGGUUGAUUUCGAUUGAUUAACGGACCAUUUUGGACUUAAGGAAGAUAACAGAUUUUCUGGUAUUUUGUUGCAGACCUUUUCUUCAUCGCGUUCGCGAGCGAGGUCUCACGAUCGCGUAAGGCAACCUGAGAGGCUAGCUAAAGUUGUUAUUCGCGUUGGUUGUACUCAUGCUACACCCUGCACUUCAUGUGCAGAUCUAGGUGUGUACAGUUCUGGCAGUCGCUAAGUUCAUGCGCGGGCUGAUUAUCGGAGACUUACGAGGUAGUUGCCAGCGUCCGCAGUCCUUUUUUCUACUUUCUUAUUAUCCUUUCUCUCUUGUAUUGGCAUUUAGCACAGACUAUAGUAAACUCUGUUUCUAGAUUGGUUGUUGGAUGCUCAUGACUCAGUGACACCCCGAUGUCGGGCUAUUUAUUUUUCCGCACUUAUGUUUUAUUUGGGUUUUACCCCGUUUCUAUGAAAGACUCCGGUUAUUUUAAAUGUCUUUAUUGAUUUCUGUGAAAUUUUGAAAGUAUUUUGGAAAGGUCGGCUUGCCUAGUAUGCCAUCACGACAGGUAGGUUUUGGGUCGUGACAACUAGUUGAUUAUCGUUGCUACCACUGCUAUAUAUUUUUUAUUAUUUUUUGUAUGCUGACCACAAGGAUUCAAGGUAGAGUUGCUUGGUCGUCGCAAUCCCUUGGAGUCUUUCUAUUUUAUUAUAUUGUCAACUCUUAUUCGAACAAUAUUGUAUAUUCGAUCUUUGAGAUCAUUGUAUGUGUUCAGUUAGAGUUCGUGACUCAAUAUUAUUAGUCUUGGGAGGUUGUUAUAUUUUUUUUCGCUGUUUUGACACUUGUAUUAAAUUAUAUGUUUAAAAAAAAAAGUCUCAAAAUAUAAUUGAAAUCGGCUUACCUAGUCUUAGAGACUAAGUGCCAUCACGACGCCUGUGGUGGGAUUUUGGGUUGUGACAGGUUAUUUCAUUUAUUUGAAAACGUAUAUCAAAUCUAAAAUGAGUUGUGCGGCCUCAUAAUAAUAUCGUUGAUGGUACACCACUUGUUCUUAUUGCUAAUAAUAUUAUGCCUCUUGAUUUGACAUUUGCAAGUAAUGCAUAUUAUUUGAAUUCCGCCGGAGGCAUCUACAAAGGACAAUCCCGCUAUACCAGAGUCGACUUUUUAUAAUAUAGUCUUGAAAGCUUAUUCUUGUUCAGGAUUUAGCUUUGAUUGUGCUUCCUCAAACACCUAUAUAGCCUUCUUAAUAUUAUACUAAUUUGUUUUGCUUUGUGAUCUAAUUUUUUAAAUCUCUAACACUCUUUUUAUGGAAUAAAUUUAUGUACCUUAAGAUUUUCUUUUAACUUGAAUAAUAAUUUUACUCAUAUGAUGAAUUUAAAAAUAAUUUAAUUGGAUUUUCUUGCUAAAUAAUUAAUUGAAAGAUUUGAUUAUUUGGUUUUAACAUAAAAAAUAAUUUAUUUUCGGUUGAUUAAGAUUCUUAAUAUUAGUUCAUCUCUUGUUUGAAUAUUUAAUGGUAAUUAUAAUCUUAUCCACCAUAAAUUUUAUUUUCAAAGAGAAAAAAGAUAUAUCUAACAUUUCACUUUUAGAUCUUUAUGUUUGCAAAAUCAUUAGUGGUAUUGACUUUUACCAACUUUUUUCUUUCUCUUUCUCACACAUUUAUGUUCUUAAAAAUUUCUUAGUUGUUCUUUAAUAAUUGAGUAUAUUUUUCUAUAUUACAUGAAAAAUUAAUAAUAAAAAGAAUAUUAUUUGAGUAGGAAUGCAGUUCAAAUAUAAUAUAAUAAUAUAUUAUCGUGGGGAUUUUGUUCUUAAGUUCAAUGAUUUAUGCAAUUCGUUUUGGUAUUGGAUAUUAUAAAGUGGUAAUGUAUUACCAAUAUGGAGAAUUCUUAUGAAAUUGAUUUUGUUAACUAAUCACGCCCAACUCUAGUCCUAAAAAGGAUAAGCGGUCGCUGCAAAUAUAAUCCGGUCCAAAAGUUCGGAGUCGAAUCCCACAGAGAACUAAGAUUUCACUAUAACUGUCCAAUAUCACUAAAAAGAUAAGUUCGAACAAUUUCAAAGUUAUAAAUAUUAAGAUUCUUAUGUCUAACUAAUUAAAGUAGUAAAUUAAUAAAUAUGGAUACUAAGGUUUGGAUACAAAAUUGAAAAAGCCUAAAGUUAUGAUUUCUCCAAUUGUCGGAAUCCUUCCCGCUACAUCUCCUACAAUUUCGCCUAAGUUUUAUCUAUUGAUCACGAGCACUCGACUUAUCGUAAUUCUCUCUCGAGCAACUAUAAUAAUUUACUAGUCAUAUUCUCUCGAAUUACGCUAGCUCGCACUUUUUUACUGCCCAGUAUGAUCACGUCAAAGCUUCGUUAUCUCUAAUCCCGCUUUUUAACCCCCCGUAUUGAUCUCUCAUAUACCUUGGGAGUGACGUUGUUCGACAACGACCUAAAUAUGCACUCUUUCUCAAGUAAUACAUAAUAAAUAGGCACAGUCAAUUGAUGGUCAUUCAAUCAACAACAACAAAGACGUAGUUGAACAAGUAGGGAUAUUCAAAGGCAAAAUUAUAUUAAAACGUAACAAGAAUCCAUCGUUCAAUAGCUUCCACCAUACCCUAGAUGAGAAAGUUUAGCUACUCAUUGCGAGCACCUAAUUUUUGACCAUACUUGAAUUUUUAUCACAUUUUAGUAUGUAAAUAUUUUUCGAGUUUAAUCUACAUAUUUUAGCCUUUGUUUUAUUUUACUUUUUAGUAGGUUUAGUUGACAAAAUUGAAAACCACAAUAAUAUUUUACAUUUUAGCUAAUUGAGUAGUAGUUAGAUUUUUUAAAUAAAUUUUUUUAUUUUAAUGUCCCAUUAGUUUAGAUAAUUAACAAUUUUGUUUCAUCUUCAAAAGAAUAGAAUUGAAAACAAACAAAAAAGAGAAGAAGAAAACAGAAAGAAAAAUGGGAAAGAGCAAAAGAAAAGUCGAAGAGGAGAGAAAAGAAGGUUCAAAUAGGUCCCACCACUUAAAUUGAUUUUUCUCCAUAUUCCCACUCAAAAUAUCACGUGCUUACUGGCACAUAAUUUUAUUCUUCUCUAUCACAAAUUUUUUCUCUAGUGGGACCACAGACACACACAACUCACACUCACCCGUCUCCUUCCAACUCAAUUUUCUCUCCCUCAUCUCUCUUAUAAAACAGAACACAAAAAGAAAAAAAAGGGGGGGGGGAUCAGCCAAGAAAUCCCAUUGAAACCAGCUGAAAAAUGCAUCAAAACUCAGCCACUAAACAGCCCUAAAAUCACUCUGAAAACAGUCUGAAAUCACUCCCUAAAACAGUCCAAAAAGCGUAAAAAAAAUAGCCCAAAAAAGAGCUGAAAACCUCCACCAAACAACUCCGAAAACAGUCUCGAAAUACACCCAGAAAUAGCCUUAUCUCUGUCGUAAUUAUACCAUCUUCAACCAGCUCCUUUUCCUCUAACAAACAGCUGCAAAACCGUCUUGAAACCAGUCCCAAACCCAGCCAGUAACGACCCUCAUUUUUGUUUCCAAAACGACACCACAGAUUCCUAAAAAACGACAUGAAGACGUACAUGUCGCAACUAAGGUUCCUUCGGCUUCCGUCGCUCGUGGUUUGCUAUUAAGGGGGACCCAGUCUCAACUAUUAUAGAUCUCAUUUAGCGAAUAAACAUUGGAGGUCCAUUUCUUGACCUUACUUUGUAUUUUUAUUUUGUGUUGGAGAUAUAAAAAUUUAUGUUUCGUUCAUAUUAUUUUUUUUAGACAAACUAUGAAUGCAUCUUGAUUUUUCUCGAGUGCAUUGACUGUUGGAUACUUUGUUAUUCUUUAUUUCUUUGCCUACUGUGUUAGCAUUGAACUUGCUUCAGUAGUUUCCUUUUUGCUUAAGAGCUUUAUUGGUAGUUUGGACCUGGGUUUGAUUGAUAAUGGGCUGGAUUAUAAAAUGGACUAUUAGCUAAGAUAUUUGAGCCAUGGGGUGGUAAGAACUUGGUUAUUUAGAGUUUAAAUGGGGGC